Molecule: long non-coding RNA, 501 nt
Organism: Falco peregrinus (peregrine falcon)
Lineage: Eukaryota; Metazoa; Chordata; Aves; Falconiformes; Falconidae
Exons: 3
Source: RefSeq, a predicted model, not a curated record
UGCACGGCCCGGGGAGGAAUCCCAGGAAUGAUGGAAUUCUCCUCCUAGCAGGUGGGGAGAGCGGGGCGGCCGCAUUGGCCGGGCCCGGCUAUGAGCUCAGCAUAAUUAGGGUAAUGAGCGCUGACAUCACAUCCUCGCAGGAGCAACACAGGUACUUCUGUUACAACAGACAGGAAGGCACGAAGUUGCCUGAAGAGAAGCCCAAGAUACACUAAACUCUGCACAAAGAUGACCGAGUUUGUGCCAGAAGCAAACACUUCUUCCAAAGCUAUCACAGAACACCAUUAUUGGUCACAGGCUUAAUAAGAGAAGAGGAAGAUUCCACCCUAUGGAUGUUCCCAUAAGAUGAAGACAGACAAGAUAGCGGGGGAUGGGGGGAGGAAAAAAAAAGAAGAAAAACAGAGUAUCAGUUUAACAAAUUAAAAGCACUCUUUGGCCAUAACUCACUGGUUUUAAUUUGUUGAAGUUUUGUCAAACACCAAUAAAAUGACCCCAACUGGU